ACAAAGCCCACCCCUGCACCCCACGUUCUCCUCGAUUCCCAGCCGCUCCCAUCCCCGUCGUCGUGCGCCUCCCAGCGCGCCGCCACCGACCCGCACCUCCUCUCCUCCUAGCGUGCCACCACCGGCCCAUACCUCUCCCCUCCCAGCGUGCCGCCGCCGAACCGCACCUCCUCCCCUCCGAACGCGCCACCGCUGAACCACACCUCCCCCUCCCAGCGCGCUGCCUCCGGCCCGCACCUGCCCCCGGUCCUCCGGUGAUGCACCGGCUGUCCCCACCCUGAACCCCGCCUCUCCCGUCGCGCCGCCACGCAACCCCUGGAUCCGGCCGACGUCCCGCCUCCUGCCCCCGGAUCCGUCCAAGACAGAUCCCACCGCCGCCUGCCACCACCAAGAACCGGCACGCUACCAAGCGCCGGCACGCGACCCCGCCGCCGACCUCAGGUACGCCACCGCGCCUCCCCUGCCACCUAGGUUGCCCCCAGCCUCGCCCAGCUCCUCUUCCAACGAUGACCCCCUGCCACACGCGCCUCUUCGUUGCUCUGUCCCGGCCACGCGUGCCACCCCGUCCUGCCUCCGGCGACGCAAACCACCUCCGCCCGCGGGCGCCGCCGCACGAACCCCGCGCGUGUCAUGUACGCCAGCUCCACCCGAAUCGCCGCCGCAGCCUCCCUCCACACAAACCAUGCACCGCCGCCACCUUGGGCCGUUCAACAACACAUCCCAAGGAUGUUCACCACCGCAUCACCCUGAUCCCCACUGCCACAAAAUGCUCCGAUGAGGCCCAGAUCGUUCCUCCCCGUGGUUCAUAGUAUGGGUUGCAUCCUAUGACAUGAGCUAUGGAAAGGAGCGAGCAGGACACAAUAAAGAUGAUGUCCUGACUUCAUUUUUGGGACGGUUCGAAAUGUGUUUGGGUCAAUUUCUUCUGUGUUUUCUCAGUCACUAUAUUGUUCUUGCUCAUUUUGUUGAAAGAUGGUCUUGUGUUCUGUGAAGAUGUGAACAAAAAUAUGUAUUCACAACAAAGAACACGAAGAUGUUGUGGUGAUGUAAAGUCCGGCCUAGCAUCUGUAGUUUUCCAGAUUGCUAUGAAUAUUUUGGUAAUCUUAACUGUGGCUUUGAUGCAAUUUAUUUCUGUAGAUGUAUAAAACCUGUCAAUUCAUGGUGAACAAAAACAUGUUGCUGCAUGUGGAGUGUUCCUGACUUGAGCGUGUAUUUUCUUUUGAUUUAUGUGGCAUUAUAUAUGAGGUACUGUGGUACUGAGGUUUGGUUGGAAAUGAGUGAGGGAGUUAAUUUGUUUGAGCCUUGGACUUGUUGCUGCUUAUUUUUAGUAGCAUCAUGGUACCAGCAUUUCGUACAUUGAUGUUUCCUCUCUACUAGGCGGUGUGAUGUUUUAGGAACAAGCUUUGUUGCUAAACACAACAAAAAUUGUAGGUACAAUGACUCAAUUGCAGCCCACUCUUUUUGCACCUGUAGUUUUGUUGGUUUUGCACCUAGAUGUUAUUAUGCUACAAUUUUUUCAGAAGUUCAAAGAUGACAAUUAUAGAAAUUCGAUGAAUGCUCUGUUGUGCUUGUACUACUAUGCUAAAAAUUUGCUUUAACUUUUUGUGAAGGUCAAAAUAUUGUGUUCGAGAAGGUCAAGUGUGUUAUGUGUAUCCCAGCAAGUUCAAAUAAUUUAAACAUGCAAAAUGUUGUGUUCGAGAAGGUCAAGUGUGUCAUGUGCAUCACCUCGCCCCCACUGAAUCUUCUGCAUUUUUUGUGUAUUCUUCAGAAGUUCAGGUCAUCAUAAGUUUCGUCUAUUGAGCUACUCUUAUGAAAAAGUUCACCACAGAGGCAGGUCUAUGCAUGCAAACCGGGGAGGACGACGAACCAUGCCUGGUGCCGCUACCCUCGUGAAUAGAUGGAGGAAGAAGGUCACCAGAGGCAGGGAGAUGGUCACAUAAGGUGCGGGAAGAUUGUCAGAGUUCAGGAACGGGGUGUGUGUAAUCUUUGUGUUGUUUUUGGGGUGCAAAUUAACAUGGAUAUGCGAUCUCACAUCCUGUGUAUUCUUGAGAUGGCCUCCCUUAGCCUCAAAACCAUAUUGCAUAUAAAUAUGAUAGUCCCAAUGCUACGGUCACGUGUAAAGAAAAUUAUAUAUAUGCCACUACCGAUUUUUUUCUUCAGGUGGUCUUCAUCACCGUU
Long non-coding RNA from Triticum dicoccoides, 2175 nucleotides. RefSeq lists it as uncharacterized. Lineage: Eukaryota; Viridiplantae; Streptophyta; Magnoliopsida; Poales; Poaceae. The record is from RefSeq and is a predicted model, not a curated record. The transcript is spliced from 2 exons.